CACUCCCAUCAGUUCCAGCUAGCAUUGUCGGAUUAUGGGAUUUGCAGUGCAUCAAAACCUGGACCACAAUUUGUCCAUCCCUACUGUAUAAGGACCAAUCUGAAUAAUUCCUGGGUGGGAUAUCACCAAGAACCAACAUGGGAUUUGCAGGUAGGACUACUAUUUCUUUCUUUUUUUAUCGCAUCAGAAGCAAAUUGAGCAAGUUGCUUCUGGUGUGAGAUAAUCGGCGUCUACAGAGAUGUUGCUCAGGGGAUGCCCGGAUGUGUUAACCUCUUAUGGGAGGUUUCUUUCAUGUCCCCGCAAGGGAAGCUGGGGCUGACAGAUGAGAGGUCACCUGUCUCAAAUUCGAACCACUGGCCUUCAGAUCAGCCGGCACAAGGGUUUAACCCAUUGCGCCACCAUGGCUCCAUAUUUUAUUUCUUGUUAUAAAAUACCAUGUGUGUUCCCUUCAGUUCAUUAAAUUAAAUUAAAAGUUGGAGCAAAAGGUAACGCAGGCCCCUUUUACACUACUAUAUAAUUUCAUUACUAAUUUCAAUCCUGCAGUGUGCCUACUGUAUCUACUGGGUUUUAGUUCCAGGAUCCACCACGAAUAUAAAAAAAUACACGGACAAUCAUGCUCCAUGUUAUUAAAUGGUGGUAGUUUUCAGAAUGAAACCGUGACAUUUUCCCACAUAGUUUGGGCUCCUUGUGACCUGCAUGAAUUGCUGCAAAGAGAUUCAGCUCAAUACAUUUGAUCUCAUGUGAUUUUCCCCCUUUUUGUGUAAUGGCCAAAAGGGCUUUUUACAACCAUGAACUAAACUGCUUUAUACCCAAAAGGGCUUUUGAUCCAAAUGUUCUCAAAUGCUCCAAACUCUUAAUAAGCUGAACUCCAUAUAAUCGCCUGGGAAUGUGUAACCGUGAUAACUAUCUCUAAAUAAGAAAAGAUGUGAGCAGUGACACUGAUGGCUUUGCCUCAAGAUUGGAAUGAAAACUAUCAUGAGAAGACCACAUGAUUCUCACUCCUCCUGUGCUUUCACAAAUAUAAACGUUCUUAUGAUACCUACCUAAUGAAUAUACGUGAAGUACAUAUAAUCUAAUUUAUCUUGCCUUUGUCUUCUUGACUUGCUGCCCAUCAAAUGCAUGAUACUGCUUCACAAGAAGUAGCCAUUAGAGAUAUACAGUUGGUCUUCCACGUUUGUGGGACCUAACUUUUGUUGAUUUGAUUAUUCUCGGAUUUGAUUAAAAUUGAAAUUGUAGAUGCAAGUUGACCAUAGAGUCAUGUUGGAGGAUCAUUCUAGAGAUUUGUUGAGAGAUGUUCUCUUAAAUUUAAAAAAGUGGUUUUUUAAUUCAUGGUUUUUCCAUCUUCAUGGUGGCCCUGCAUCACUAACCUCGGUGAACAUGGAGAGCUGACAGGAUAUUUAUAUGGCCUUUACUUUUCUGUGAUACCACAUGUAAAAAUACUUACUAGAUUAUCUGAGCUAGCUGUUGCAUGAUGCACUUUCUUUCCUAUAUUUGCUUAUGAAGCAAGAGAUAUACAUUUUCCUUUAGUCAGGGAUGGGCAAAGUGAGCCCCUCCAGAUAACAACAACAACAACAACUACAACUUUAUUCUUGUAUCCCGCCCCAUCUCCCCGAAGGGACUCGGAGCGGCUCACAUGGGGACCAAGCCUAAAAUACAACACAAUAUACAACAAUGAAGUAAUUUAAAACAUAUAAAAUAAGAGGCAUAUAAAAUACAGUAAAAACAUACAAUAACCCAUAGCCUUCUAGGCGCAGUAAGCAUAAUCAGGAUUGGUGGUAAGGCAGUAAAAUUAAUUAUGUGUAAUAUUUUGCAAUCUCUGAACUGGGCCAGAAUAAAGUGCAAUAGCUGGGUAUAGGUGGAAGUGAAAGGACACAGUCAAUUUGUGCCCAAUCAGUCAAACGCACAUCGAAAUAGUCAGGUUUUCAGCUCUUUCCAGAAUGUGGCCAAAGUGGGGGGCUAAUCUAAUUUCCCUUAAGAGCGAGUUCCAGAGCCAGGGGCUACCGCCAAGAAGACCCUCUCCCUCGUCCCCACCAACCGUGUUUGAGACGGUGGCAGGAACGAGAGGAGGGCCUUCCCCGCAGAUCUCAGGGAUCGUGUAGGUUUGUAGUAGGAAAUGCGAUCCCAAAGAUAAGCUGGACCCAAACUGUUUAGGGCUUUAUAGGUGAUAACCAGCAGCUUGAAUUGAGACCGAAAACUAAUGGUAGUGGCUGCUUCUUCUUUGUCUUGUUCCUCCUCCUCCCUUUCCUUCCUGCUCCCCUUCCUCCUCUUCCUCCACCUGCGCCUCCUCUUUUUCUGUGUGUACUACAGAUUUCCUCAACCCCUUCCACACAUCUGAAUAAAAUCCCACAUUAUCUGCUUUGGACUGGAAUAUAUGGCAGUGUGGACUCCGAUAAUCCUGUUCACAGCUGAUACCGUGAUAUUUUCUGCCUUGAUAUUCUGGGAUAUAUGGCUGUGUGGAAGGGCCCCUAGUCAGGACAGCCAGUGCUGAGUCUUGCUAGAAGAUGCAGUAUAACAACAUAUAGACCAGUGCACUUUGCUUAUCCAUACUUUAAUUCAAGUGUGGAACACUUUGCUUCACCUAGACAGUGGCCCCUUCUACACAGCUGUAUAAAAUCCAGAUUAUCUGCUUUGAACUGGAUUAUCUGGCAGUGUUGACGCAGAUAAUCCAGAUCAAAGCAGAUAAUGUGGAUUAUCUGCCUUAAUAUUCUGGAUUAUAUGGCAGUGUAAAAGGGCCCUCAGUCUAAUUCAGUUUCAGAGAAGUUAUUGGGUCCAUAUUCUGACAAAGGCGAGACCAGAAACAAAAGGACGAGACUAAAACUACAGCCUAUUUUAGCUCAACACUCUUUCUUUCCGGGUUGUUGUGUGUUUUCUGGGCUGUAUGGCCAUGUUCCAGAAGUAUUCUCUCCUGACAUUUCGCCCACAUCUCUGGCAGGCAUCCUCAGAGGUUGUGUACCUCACAAUGACAUUUUGCCUCAUUGUGAAUGAGUUUCUUAGCACCAAUUCUACAUAGUUCAGUAUAUACAAUCUAUAUAUAUAAAAGGAUAAAAAAAAUUCGGCCUAGAACAAAACAACAAAACUACACAUCCCAGAAACACUAAACUUGGCAACACAACCCCUCAUCCAUGCCUCUACGUUCAUACAACAAAAAGAAAAGAAAAAUAAAGUCCUAAUUAGAGGGAGAGCAAUAAUUGUUUUUUUUUAAUCAAAUUGCUGCCAGUUACAAGGCUAAACUCUGCCCACUUGGUCUCCUAGCAACCUACUCAGCCCAGGGGACAGGCACAGUUAGGCCUCAGGCCUCUUCCACACUUCCUAUAAGAUACAGAUUAUCUGAUUUUAACUGGAUUAUAUAGCAGUGUAGACUCAAGGCCCUUCCACACAGCUAUAUUACCCAUUUAUAAUCUUAUAUUAUCUGCUUUGAACUGGAUUAUCUUGAGUCCACACUGCCAGAUAAUUCACUUCAGUGUGCAUUUUAUACAGCUGUGUAGAAGGGGCCUCAUAUAAUCCAGUUCUAAGCAGAUAAUAUAAGAUUAUAAAUAUAUAGUAGAGUCUCACUUAUCCAACAUAAACAGGCCGGCAGAACGUUGGAUAAGUGAAUAUGUUGGAUAAUAAGAAGGGAUUCAGGAAAAGCCGAUUAAACAUUAAAUUAGGUAAUGAUUAUACGAAUUAAGCACCAAACAUACACCAAAGCACAAGCACCAAAUACAACAAAUUUGACAGAAAAAGUAGUUCAAUCCUCAGUAAUACUAUGUUGUAAUUACUGUAUUUACAAAUUUAGCACCAAAAUAUCACAAUGAAUUUAAAACAUUGACUACAAAAACAUUGACUACUAAAAGGCAGACUGCGUUGGAUAAUCCAGAACACAGGAUAAGCAAAUGUUGGAUAAGUGAGAUUCUACUGUAAUAUGAAAUAAUUACUGUGGUAAUCCAGUCCAACCAAUUCUGCCAUGGAGGACACAAUCCAAGCACGCCCAACAGAUGGCCACCCAGCCUCUCAAUAAUAAUAAUAAUAAUAAUAAUAAUAAUAAUAAUAAUAAUAAGAAGAAGAAGAAGAAGAAGAAGAAGAAGAAGAAGAAGAAUAUCAUACAAUCAUAAGGUUAGGGGACACCCCUAAGGAUCAUCCAAUUCAACUUCCUUCUACUAUGCAGGAUGACACAAACCAAGCACUCCUGACAGAUGGCCAUCCAAGAUCUGCACAGUAAUAAUACAAAUCGAAUCAUAGAAUCAGACAGUUAGGAGACACCCCUAAAGGCCAUCCAGUCCAACCCAAUUCUGCCAUGCAGGACACAAUGCAAGCACUCUCAACAGAUGGCCACCCAGCCUCUCAAUACUACUACUACUACUACUACUACUACUACUACUAAUAAUAAUAAUAAUAACAACAACAACAACAACAACAUCAUCAUACAGUCCUAAGGUUUGGAGUGACCCCUAAGGAUCAUCCAGAUCAACUUCCUUCUACUAUGCAGGAGGACACAAUCCAAGCACUCCUGACAGAUGGCCAUCCAUCCUCUACAUAUUAAUGAUGAUGAACAUGAUGAUGAUGAUGAUGAUGAUGAUGAUGAUGAUGAUGAUGAUGAUGAUGAUGAUGAUGAUGAUAAUAAUAAUAAUAGAAGCAUAGAAUCCAAGAGUUUGGAGAGACCCCUAAGGGCCAUCCAGCCCAACCCUUUCUACUAUGCAGCAGGACACAAUCCAAGCAUUCACAACACAUGGACAACAUAUAAAUACUAUACAAUAUUACACAGGGACAUAGACCCCCUCUACCCUCACCACUUUCACAGUACACAAACAACCAAAUGCAUACUAAACAUAAAGACAAACAUACAACAGACAUUCAGUACCACCACUACCUGAACAAGUUCUCACCAACACCACCAGACAAUGCCAUAGCAACUCGUGGCUGGGCACAGCUAGUUGUUUUAUAUUAUUUUAAAAUUAUAAAUUUUAAUUAAAAAUUUUCUGUGUGUACAUAUAGGUAAGAAAAAAAAGUGAAAGUGGCAGAUACUAUAGUGUAGGGAUGGCAUAAAGGGGGUUGAAGGGGAUGGGAAGGGGGGUUAUAGCUUGAGUCUUGGGGUGGGAAGGGAAGGAUAGGGAAGGAAGGGAAAAUUGAGGGGGGGGGGAGAGAAAGUUAUUGUCUUCGUCUUCCUCUUCAUUAUCAAUUCCUUCUCCAGUCACUUAUUCUUUCCACAGUAUGCUUCUCCUUUCCUCUCUUUGUUGUUGCUGUUUAUUCGUUCAGUCACUUCUGACUUUUCGUGACCUCAUGGACCAGUCCACGCCAGAACUCCCUGUUAGCCGUUGCCACCCCCAGUUUCUUCAAGGUCAAGCCAGUCACUUCAAGGAUACCCUUGGUCGGCCCCUCUUCCUUUUUCCUUCCAUUUUCCCCAGCAUAAUUCUCUUCUCUAAGUUUUCUUGUCUUCUCAUUAUAUGGCCAAAGUACUUCAUCUUUUCCUCUAAUAUCCUUUCCUCCAGUGAGCAGCCUGGCAUUAUUUCCUGGAGUAUGGACUGGUUGGAUCUUCUUGCAGUCCAAGGCUAUCUCAAAAUUUUCCUCCAACACCACAGUUCAAAAGCAUCUAUCUUCCUUCACUCAGCCUUCCUUAUGGUCCAGCUCUCUCUUUAUUGGGGCUAUUUUCCUUAUAGUUUUCUGCUUGAGUUAUAUUAUUGUCAUCUUUUUUCUGUAUUCAUAUAAUCUUUAAACAGUUGCCAGUCAGUUGUCUUUUAGGGGUUUUCUGGUAUUUUCAACAUCAAUUGGGUCAAUUUGUCCAUGUCCAUGAUUUCCGUAAUUUUGAUUAACCAUUGUUCUUUUGUUGGUAAUUCUUUUGUUCUCCAAUUUCUAGCAUAUACAAUUCUUGCUGCUGUUGUUAGGUAACUAAAAAGGAUUUCCGUGUUUGCAUCUAUGUCAAUGUCUGUAUUUGUUAGUCCAAGUAAGAAAUACUCUGGUUUCAUUUGUAUCUUGAGUUUAAGAAUCUUUUGGGAUAGUUCCUGGAUCUCCCCCAAUAGUUUUUAGCUUUUUCACACAUCCACCACAUAUGAUAGAAUGUGCCUUUUUUUUUUAUUACAGUAUUUAUAUUCCGCCCUUCUCACCCCGAAGGGGACUCAGGGCGGAUUACAAUGAACACAUAUAUGGCAAACAUUCAAUGCCAACAGACAAACAACAUUCAGUUUUUUAGACAGACACAGAGGCAUUUUUUAAACAUCUUUCCAGUUUCACGAUUCCGGCCACAGGGGGGGCUGUUGCUUCACCGUCCAUUGGUGGCUGUUCUUCCUCUUCUUUUCCUUGUGAGCAGUUUUAUAGUGUUGUAGAUUAGUUAAAUUAGCCUCCCGCAUAAAGCGUCCCUAAAUUUUCCCUACUUGACAGAUGCAACUGUCUUUUGGGGCUGCUAGGACAACAGCAAGCUGGGGCUAUUUUUUUUUAAUAGUCGGAGGCUUAACCCGACCCGGGCUUCGAACUCAUGACCUCUCGGUCAGUAGUGAUUUAUAGCAGCUGGUUAUUAGCCAGCUGCGCCACAGCCCGGCCCCUUUCCACAUUUCUUUCCACAUUGCAUUCCACAUUUCCAGCACUUGCUGUGCAUGUUUUUGUAAAAAGCUUCUAAUUUGUGUGGGGUUAUAUACCAUCUGUACAACAUUUUAUACCAAUUCUCUUUUAGGUCCAUUGCAUAGGUAAAUUUUAAAUUCUGAUACCACAUGCAUUCCCAUUCUUCUAAUUUUAUUGGAGGACCUUACAGCGACACCAGAGGCACUUGAAGUGGCCAGCUUCUGAUCAAAGGAAUUUAGCAUAAUGCUUACUUUUUAACUUUGUUUGUGGUUUUUUUUUAAUACAUUAUAGCUGUAUUCUCAAUUUGCUUCUGAUGCAAUAAAUAAAUAAAUUUGUC
Molecule: long non-coding RNA, 6865 nt
Organism: Anolis carolinensis (green anole)
Lineage: Eukaryota; Metazoa; Chordata; Lepidosauria; Squamata; Anolidae
Exons: 2
Source: RefSeq, a predicted model, not a curated record